GACAGGUGUGGUGGUGCACGCCUGUAAUCCCAGCUUCUUGGGAGGCUGAGGCAGGAGGAUUGCCAGCCUCACAAUGUAGCAAAGCCCUCAGCAAUUAGCAAGAUCCUGUCUCAA
This 114-nucleotide small RNA is filed under the name Marmota monax (woodchuck). Lineage: Eukaryota; Metazoa; Chordata; Mammalia; Rodentia; Sciuridae. The record is from RNAcentral.